Molecule: ribosomal RNA, 525 nt
Filed under: Dynoides daguilarensis
Lineage: Eukaryota; Metazoa; Arthropoda; Malacostraca; Isopoda; Sphaeromatidae
Description: partial 16S ribosomal RNA
Rfam family: Bacterial large subunit ribosomal RNA
Source: RNAcentral
UCGCCUGUUUUUCAAAAACAUCGCCAGUAAUUUUACCGGUAAAAUCUGCCCAGUGAUAUUUAACGGCCGCAGUAUCUUAACUGUGCUAAGGUAGCGAAAUCAUUAGUCUCUUAAUUGGAAACCUGUAUAAACGAUCCGACGUAAGGUCAACUUUCUCCUCGGUCCUUCGAACUUACUUUUAGAAGUAAAAAAGCUUCUUAUUAUCAGACGGACGACAAGACCCUAAAAAGCUUUAUUCUUCGAAAGGUCAAAUCCUUACACCUUUUACUUUUAAAGAAUUAUACUGGGGCGGUAGCUCAACCAUUAACACGAGUCACCCUAACAGCCUGCCUGACUUUAUCAAACACCAAGAUGUAAUUAAGUUCAAGUUACUUUAGGGAUAACAGCAUAAUUUUUUCUCAGAGCCCAUAUCGACGAAGAAGAUUAUGACCUCGAUGUUGAAUUGAAGAGCCUUCCUGGGGCAGCUCCUGGGUGAGGAAGUCUGUUCGACUUUUAAACCUUUACAUGAUUUGAGUCCAAACCGGA